AACGCACAUUGCGCCCUCCGGUAGCCCGGGGGGCAUGCCUGUUCGAGCGUCAUUUUAGACCAUCAAGCCCUGCUUGGCUUUGGGCGUCUUCGUCCCCUGUAAAGGGGGGGCGGGCCCUAAAUCAGUCGGCGGCCGAGUCGAGCCCCAAGCGUAGUAGAUUUUAUUUUUCCCGCUUCAGGAGGUUUUCGGCGCGAGCCUGCUACAAAUGACAAAAACACAACCUCAAGGUUGACCUCGGAUCAGGUAAGGGUACCCGCUGAACUUAA
This 266-nucleotide unclassified non-coding RNA is filed under the name Mollisia sp. Its description in RNAcentral is "partial contains 5.8S ribosomal RNA, internal transcribed spacer 2, and large subunit ribosomal RNA". RNAcentral also lists the same sequence under 1 other name. The record is from RNAcentral. Lineage: Eukaryota; Fungi; Ascomycota; Leotiomycetes; Helotiales; Mollisiaceae.